AAUCCAUUGGCUUAUUUGAUAGAGCACGAGAAUUUUAAUCUCGGUGUGCUGGGGUUCGAGCUCCAGAUGGAUUA
RNAcentral lists this transfer RNA (74 nucleotides) under Caudoviricetes sp. Its description in RNAcentral is "tRNA-Lys". It matches the Rfam family "tRNA". Rfam says of the family: Transfer RNA (tRNA) molecules are approximately 80 nucleotides in length. Their secondary structure includes four short double-helical elements and three loops (D, anti-codon, and T loops). Lineage: Duplodnaviria; Heunggongvirae; Uroviricota; Caudoviricetes. The record is from RNAcentral.